Molecule: ribosomal RNA, 433 nt
Filed under: uncultured bacterium
Lineage: Bacteria
Description: partial 16S ribosomal RNA
Rfam family: Bacterial small subunit ribosomal RNA
Source: RNAcentral
AACGAACGCUGGCGGCAUGCCUAACACAUGCAAGUCGAACGAGACCUUCGGGUCUAGUGGCGCACGGGUGCGUAACGCGUGGGAACCUGCCCUUAGGUUCGGAAUAACUCCCCGAAAGGGGUGCUAAUACCGGAUAAUGUCUUCGGACCAAAGAUUUAUCGCCUUUGGAUGGGCCCGCGUUGGAUUAGCUAGUUGGUAGGGUAAUAGCCUACCACGGCGACGAUCCAUAGCUGGUCUGAGAGGAUGAUCAGCCACACUGAGACUGAGACACGGCCCAGACUCCUACGCGAGGCAGCAGUGCGGAAUAUUGGACAAUGGGCGAAAGCAUGAUGCAGCAAGGCCGCGUGAGUGAUGAAGGCCUUAGGGUUGUAAAGCUCUUUUACCCGGGAUGAUAAUGACAGUACCGGGAGAAUAAGCGCCGGCUAACUACGUG